CCUACGGGAGGCUGCAGUGAGGAAUAUUGGUCAAUGGACGAGAGUCUGAACCAGCCAAGUAGCGUGAAGGAUGACUGCCCUAUAGGUUGUAAACUUCUUUUAUAUGGGAAUAAAAUGUUCCACGUGUGGGAUUUUGUAUGUACCAUAUGAAUAAGGAUCGGCUAACUCCGUCCCAGCAGCCGCGGUAAUACGGAGGAUCCGAGCGUUAUCCGGAUUUAUUGGGUUUAAAGGGAGCGUAGGUGGAUUGUUAAGUCAGUAGUGAAAGUUUGCGGCUCAACCGUAAAAUUGCAGUUGAAACUGGCAGUCUUGAGUACAGUAGAGGUGGGCGGAAUUCGUGGUGUAGCGGUGAAAUGCUUAGAUAUCACGAAGAACUCCGAUUGCGAAGGCAGUUCACUGGACUGCAACUGACACUGAGGCUCGAAAGUGUGGGUAUCAAACAGGAUUAGAUACCCUAGUAGUC
RNAcentral lists this ribosomal RNA (460 nucleotides) under uncultured bacterium. Its description in RNAcentral is "partial 16S ribosomal RNA". It matches the Rfam family "Bacterial small subunit ribosomal RNA", at positions 338 to 795 of the family's 1533-position model. The record is from RNAcentral.